GUGAUUUGCAAAUAUGCACAAUUUAAUCUGUACACACAUAUUUAAAUUACACAUACAAAGUGAUAUUUACGCAUUUGUGGAUCCAUUUCUACACACAAAACUGUUUUUACACAUUUGUGGAAAACUUCCUGUCAAUUUGCAGGUCACGUUACAUUUGUAACUACCUUUUUACGCAUUUGUGGAGUUUCGUCCACUCUGUCUCACCGAGAUGUGCAAAAAGAUAUUUGUAAGUUUAAGAGCAGUUUAUUAGCUACACCAGCAGGGGGCGGUGGUGACAUUGCCUCCCAUGAGUUGACAGGAUAUUCACGCUCAUCUAUGGGGGACAACUAGCAAAAGGACUGUAGCUCGGUUUAUAGUUUCAACUCGACCAGCUCAUGAUUCAGGAUCUGGUUCAUCCACCUAUAGUAAGUUAGCUGUGUAACGUUUGUCCACGUUAUGUAACAAGCUCACAUGAAAUCAUUUAGUUCACUUAGUUCAUUUGUAACUACUGGCUAUUUUUGCAAAACUCUACACACAAAUAAGAAAACCUUUCACCCAAUUAUCAAAACAUUGUAGUUCUCUUGCAAAAGCGAACACAGCUAGAUUAACUCUUUGUAAAAAUGGUGUUUUCGUAUCAAACAGUAAACACAAGCCAUCAUCUACUAAGCACACAAUGUGCCAACUACACACUGAUGGUAUGAAUACAAAACACAUCUUUUGCUUUCUUUGUGUACAGAUGUCAAUUUAAGGUCAUACUUUUGUCAUAGUGUCAUGUAAACAUACAAGUAUCCAAACUUCAAGUAUUGGUGUUUAUUCACACUCAUCAAAACCAAGACAAAGUCAGAACACAAAGUAGUAAUUUUACAAAAAAAAACAAAACAAAAAAACAAUCAGCCUACAUCAUGUCAUCUUUCUGGGUCCAGCCACAAAAUUUCAUCCACAUCGCAUGCGAUAUCCUCCAGUCCAAGGCACCGGGGAAAAUAUCUCCUUGAAUGCCGUAUCCAGGCCUGACAUGAUGCCUGGUCAAUAUCUCCUCAUGCCUCCUCCAUUGCCUGUAAAAGGGCUACCUGUUGAUGAGGAUGACGGUCGUACACUUUCCAGCGCCAGGCAGAGAAGAACUCCUUGAUGGGAUUUAAGAAUGGAGAGUAUGGAGGGAGGCUGAGUGCCAUGAAGAAUGGGUGGUCUGUAAACCAGUUGCGGACCAAAGCAGCCCUAUGGAAACUAACAUUGUCCCAUAUGAUGACAUAUCGGGUCUGCUCUGGUCUCUGAACAGUGAGCAUGUCAUGUAAGGUGUCCAGGAAUGCAAUAAUGUGUGCAGUGUUGUAUGGGCCUAUGGUUGCAUGAUGGUGAACAACAGCAUUUUGGCUUAUAGCUGCACACAUGGUUAUGUUACCACCACGUUGUCCUGGGACACUGAUGAUGGCACGGUGUCCAAUAAUGUUCCUGCCACGUCUCCUGGUUUUACUGAGGUUAAAACCGGCCUCAUCUACAAAAAGUAGCUCAUGUCCCAUGGCAUCUGCUUCUAGUUCCAUCACUCUCUGGACAAGACAAAACAAAUGCAGCACAUCAGGCCCCUGCACAGCACUACAGUAUGCACUUCCAAAUUCAGAACCAAUGACACUAUAGCUUACCUGCACAUAGUCAUAUCGCAGUUGCUUUACACGUGUUUCUCUCGAAAGGAACUCUGUAAAUUUGCUUCAUUCUUAUUCUGUGGUGCUCAAGUACAACGACUUAGUGCAGAAAUGUUUACACUGUGUAUAUUUUGAAAGAUGGUGUCAUUAUCAAUUAUGCGCUGCUGUAUUUCGCGCAGUCUUAUUGCAUUAUUGGCAAUCACCAUGUUCACUAUAUGGGUCUCUUGCUCUGGAGUGAACAGUCUUCCUCUGCCCCCAACAUGUGGACGUCUAGCAAUUCUGUAAAGUAACAAUUUCAGUAUUUUUGCAUGUAUGGUACUGUUGUGUUUCUCAUUAGAGUAUGGCAGUGCUACAAAGUACUUACCGAUUCUCAUUUCGAAAUGUCCUAAUGAUGCUUGCCACAGUGUAGCGGCUCAAAUUAGGCUGAACCCGUUGGCCAGCUUCCCUCAGGGUCAUCCCAUGGUUGAUGACAUGGUCCACUAUUGUAGCUCUGAUGUCAUCAGUUAUUCUAUUUCUUACUCUUCUUACCCUUCCUCUUUCCCCUCCUCGUCCUCUUCUUGCUCCUCCUUGUCCUCUUCCUCUAACUUCCUCUAACCCUCUCGCUUCUUCACCUCCACGUCCUCUUCCUCCAACUUCUUCACCUCCACGUCCUCUUCCUCCAACUUCUUCACCUCCACGUCCUCUCCCUCGGCCUCCUCGGCCUCCUCUGAUUCUCACUCUUCUCACUCUUACUGCUCGUUCCAUUGUACUCCACACAGACAGCUUACCUGUGGCUUAUUUAUAGUGCUUAGGCUGAUUGCAAAGUGAACUAAUAAUCUAAAACAGUUUUCACAUGUGAAAGUGUGCCAGAAAGUUGGCAAAAUAGUGUUAAUGAUAGCCAUACAUGUGUAUAAUUUUGCUAGGAGUGUGUUGGAAAUUUGGUAAUUGAGUGUAAGCAGUGAGUUGUGUUUAAAGUUCUGCAAAGAGUGUUGUGCAGUGAAUUGUGCCGACAGUUUUGCAAAGUGUGUGUUACAAAAUUGCAAACUGAGUGCAAAGCAGUGUUUGUGCUUUUAGUUUUGCAAACUCAGUGAGUGGUUUUGCUAUACGUAUUAAUAGUUUUAGAAAUUGUGCUACAAGAAUCACGAUUAGCGCUUAAGCAUUCAGAAAAAACUGUAAAUAAAUCUUAUUAACAGGAAGUCAGGUUGAUUCUCUGAAUGUGUGAGUUUGUUUUAAACCAGCAGAUGUCAGCAGAGUUACUCUGCAGCCAGCAGGAUGACAGUGACUCAUCCAACAUGUUCAUCUUUAGAGACGGGAUCCCCAGCAUAAUAGCACUGUUGUGAGAAGAGGGUCUUUAUUUAGUUUGUUUGACAAUAAUGAGUUGAUGCUCGAUAUAAGCUCUAAAAUCAGCCUAUAAAAGAAUCCAUAGAUAUAAAACACUUAGCAUGCCACAGCGUUUAAGCUUUUAUCACCACCACAGUAAAAAUACAUUAUUGAUCAUCAGAGGCUGCUGCUCCUCACAACAGGCUAUACAAUCUAAACAAAUAAUAAUUUAAAAACAUGCAGGUUGUCUGACCUUACUAUGACUAUGCAUCAAAAAUCAAGGCUUCACCACAGAACAUGGCCAAUCCCUAAAAAACCGUCGGACCCAGGAAAGUUUGAUCUAAACUUCUACAAAAUGUUUUUGAAAAGUGAAAUCUUCAUCACACAGAUAUUUACAGAGUGGAGAGAAACUCCACUGAGGAACUUUACCUCCUUGUUUCUAAUGAAUCUGUCUCUCAGUGAUCUCAGAUCAGCCCUCCUUCAUGUUCAGCCUGCAGCGCUGUCACUUCCUGCAUGUGAUUAAACUCUUUGUGUAGGGCCCCGUGUCUCCUGAUGAGCUCUGAGUGAAGAAGCAAAACCAGAUGAGCUUCUACACAGUCACUGCUCUCACCUACAGAGAGGAAGAGAUUAACUGGACUGACUGAGUGGAGGAGCGAUGGGACAGACAGCUUUUCUGCUCUCCUCUCUGACUGUGAGUCCCAGCAGCUCUCAGCUGUUUGAAGAAGAGUCUGUCUCUCUGAGCUGUGAGGAGGACGACAGCUCUGCUGGAUGGACGCUGAGGAGGAACACAACCAGAGAAACCAGGACUCAGUGUGGAGCUGGCUGGGGAAGAUCAGCUGGUUCUUCAUGUAAAAUCACUGACAUCGUCCGAUUGGACAGUGGAGUUUACUGGUGUGAGUCCAGAGAGGGAGCAACCAGUAACACCAUCAACAUCACUGUCACUGGUGGACCAGUGAUCCUGCAGAGUCCUGUCCUCCCUGUGAUGGAGGGACAUGAUGUCACUC
Long non-coding RNA from Micropterus salmoides (largemouth bass), 3913 nucleotides. RefSeq lists it as uncharacterized. The transcript is spliced from 3 exons. Lineage: Eukaryota; Metazoa; Chordata; Actinopteri; Centrarchiformes; Centrarchidae. The record is from RefSeq and is a predicted model, not a curated record.